Molecule: long non-coding RNA, 728 nt
Organism: Marmota monax (woodchuck)
Lineage: Eukaryota; Metazoa; Chordata; Mammalia; Rodentia; Sciuridae
Exons: 3
Source: RefSeq, a predicted model, not a curated record
UGGGAGACCAUCCUCGGGAGAUCUUUCCUCCUGGAGGAGAACAAGAAAGUGUGUUUGAGGACAGAAAGAGGCGCAAGAGGCAACAGCUGUGCCACAGGCGGCCCAUGGUACCCAGUGAGCUGUUGGCCUGAAGUUGAGAUCUCCGACCAGCAAUGCUGCUGAGGCAGAUCAGCACCAUGCAUUCCAAAGCUGGAGAGAACCUGGAAAUUGUCAUCUGGGUCUGGUCCCGAGCCUUGCCACAGGAGCCAGGUAUCAUUGCAAAGGAAAGAAAUCUGUGGAAGAAUACAAGCCAAGGUUAGCACUGGCUCCCUCAUGGGACCAGGCAGUUUAAUAAAGGAUGGGGGUAAAUAAUUAGCAUUUUUAUACAAUGCUUUUUGCUUGUUGUUGUAGCAUGUAUUUUGAUAAACUACUAUAAAUUUAUCAGUAUUGUAUUACUGAUAAAUUCAGAGGAAAAUCAAACAAUGAGUAUUUUAAUAAGUAAAAAUUCAGACAAUGUAGAUUUCAUACACAUUUAUCUGCAAUCCUGAAAACAAGACUUUUAUUCCAAUUUUACUUGCUAAUAUUUCUUUUUUUGUUGUUACUUACUAAUAUUUCAUAUUUUUUUAAACAGGAAAUCUUCAGAAUGUGAAAGAUUGGUAUUAAAAUUUCUUUUUAAUUAAUUACAAAGGUUUAAAGUGUGCUUUUCCAUAGUUAAAAGAAGCUUAAUAAACGAUUCUUAUGAUUCUUAA